Lolium perenne is the source of this 2332-nucleotide long non-coding RNA. RefSeq lists it as uncharacterized. Lineage: Eukaryota; Viridiplantae; Streptophyta; Magnoliopsida; Poales; Poaceae. The record is from RefSeq and is a predicted model, not a curated record.
UACAACCUACCUACGUCCAUCGAUCGCUAAACGCAAGCAUCCUUCGUCGUUUGCCCUCUCGCGUGCGCUGACAGGUGGCCAAACCAGCAGGAAACCUCCUCAUCGUACCCCAAUCCCUAGAUCCGAUCUCACGAUACCAGGAGCAGGCGGAGGCCGCCGCCGUUGUGCUCCUCCUGCCGCUCACCCCGACCACCACUGCGAUGCAAUCUGGAGCGCGCCGUCCACGCCGCCGAACCGGCUAUCCUGUACCUCUCUGUCCACGUCAUUCACGCUUGGCUUCCCACCAUUGAUCGACUUCGCCUUUCCCGUCCAGAUGCAGCGACCGCCCGCCCGCGUGCCCUGGACCUUCCGCCGGCUCCCGGAUCCAUCUGCCUCUUGCAGCCGUCGCCAGCCCCCUUCUACCUCGAGAUUUUAAUUAAAUACUACUAAAGAUAGGUCUAGGCCAAACGCGGUAGCAGAGUCCGUUUCUGGUGAGAAACGGGGUGGAGACGAUGCGGGAGAGGGCAAGAGAUAGAGCGAGAGUGGAGUCGUCGGAGCUGCCGAUGUGGGGUAAAAUGGACAUCACCAGCGGGGAUUUCUCGAGGCUGCACCACCGAAUCAAAAUCCUAGGCGCCGUGAAUGUGGCCAGGUUUGAUUGGCUAACUAAGGAGUGCUAGGCAGGUGGGGAAGAUGCAUGUGUCGCGACGGUGCAUCGGAAAUUGGCGAAGGCUCGUCUCGGCAAACAAGAAGCUAUGGAUACAUGCGCGUCUAGCUGCAAGCCGUCUUCGUUGUUGUUCAUGGAGUCCAACAGUAUUCUACACACGAAUGACAUCCAUUGAGGAGAUCGCUUAAAUAGCAUCAGAUGCCACACAAGCCUGAUGGUUAAUGUUUCCGCUCCGUUGACGACCCCCACCGACGCCUCCAAUGACAUAAGAUUUGUUCUCCCUGGUCAAUACCUGUAUCCUCCUUUGGUGCAAAAUCAGACUGAUUCUCUAUGGACAAGAAUCUGGGAAAAAAAGGAUCCCCCCCCUACUGAAUUAUGUAUGUUAAGAUCAACACGGAAAAUUUCUAUUUCUAUAUAUAUCUUUAGUCUAUGCAUUUGCAGCGAUAGCCUUCAAAUUUACAAUCAUGUUGCUGAUUUAUUUCGGAAAAUGGCAGGUCUCAUAUCAACUCUCCUGCUGAUAUUCUUUUUGGUCUAAGAUUAUAUAUAGGUUCAGAUUAUAUCAUUCUGCAGUGAUGUUGCCGAAUGCUCCAGCUUUUAUGAUUGUCUUUCCAUAAUUUAGCAGCAUCUGCUAUUAACCGGUGUGACUUAUUCCUUUCCAAGAAGUUAUGACUUAUUCCAUUCAACAUUACCUUUAUCUAUAAUUUCUAUUCCAUAAAUCAUAAACAAAAGAAUCUAUGAUGUGUACUGGCAAGAGGGAGGAACUAAUGAAAAAAAUUAGUUUCCGGAAAGCAGUUUAUGAGGGACCUGUAGUUCAGUUUUACGGCGUUGAUGGCAACUUCUCUAUACCUAAAUACUGAAUGUUUAACUACUUUUUUGCGCCUCCUGUUGUCUUUCGCCGUUUGCAUCACUUACUCCAGAUUGUUGUGGUGUUGAUGGGGUGUGUGUUGUGGGUAAAAUUCAACAAUGUUGUUCCUAGGCUAGAAUGUUAAACAACAAGGUGUAUUCUCUUAAGAACAAAGCUAUUGAGGGUUAUCUUUGAGAUUAAGCAUUAGAUACUUGGUGUGUCUCUAAUUCAUAAGUAAUUUAAAUAAUUCCACUUGCAGCCAUGUUCGGAUUGGUUACCUCUUUCGAGUUGUUCUUGCUUCUUGCUUUAUUAUAUAUGUCAAAUGCAAAAGAUUGAUAAUUUCCUCUGUUUUUUAAGCCCGAUUUAAGGUGUUGUUAUACCAUACAGAGGUAAUGGACUAUUACAGUGUAGUUCCCAUCAGACUGAUUUGUUUAUUACUAAUUCAUAUGUCUAUUUGACUUUUAAUCCCCGAAUCCGUGCAUACCGCAAAUGGGUUGGUGUUUCGAGUAGUUCUAUCUUGGUGUGAGAAACACAGAGAGAUUCUUAAUCUGAAUAUAGUUGGUCUUUCGAUUUGUUUUUCUAUGCUUAAGCCUGGCCCUUUUAUUCUAUAGCCGAGGAGGUCCUUUUGAUUGUAAUGGUCCAAGGUAGCUCCAUUUAGUCUUGCUUGGGCAGCAAAUGCCUAACUCAUACUUGGGUAUUGUACUAUUGCUCUUCUGCAUCCUCUUUUUAUUAUUUGCAUUUGACACUAAAGCGAAAAGUAAUAGCUAUUUCCUUAGGUUAGGGAAGAAAAUUGUUGGGUAAAUGAUAAUGGAGCCAAUAAACUAAUGUAUUUGUUCUUUAUUUUG